RNAcentral lists this ribosomal RNA (20 nucleotides) under Cololabis saira (Pacific saury). RNAcentral's name for it is "partial 12S small subunit ribosomal RNA". The record is from RNAcentral. Lineage: Eukaryota; Metazoa; Chordata; Actinopteri; Beloniformes; Belonidae.
GGAAGGUGCACUUGGUUAAC